UAUCCCGCCAGCCCCGCCCCGCCCCGCCGGCCCCGCCCCAUCCUGCCCCACCACACAGGCCCUGCUCACCGUCCAACCCUCCAGGGCCGUCUGGUACUCGGCGGCCUCCGUGGCCUCCCUCAGCAGCUCCUGGUAUCGGGGACAGCUUCGUGUAGGGAACCUCAGCAGCUGGAGAAAACGGAGGCUCAGCGGGGACAGCAGCGUGACCGGGGCCCGACUGCAGGCGGGGGGAGUCGGGCUGUGGGGCCCUGUCUCCGGUCCAGCGUCUCUCCCAGAUCCGGCUGCACAGUGUCGGGUAGGCGGCUCACCCCAUCAGGACAGCUCAGCCCCAGGGAAGGUCUGGGUGUUCUGGCUCCCGGGAACCACCCAUCCAGGCCCCGAGCCUCCUCUCUCAGCCGCUGGCCCUCUCCGUCUCUGGGGUCCCUGUCUCCCUCCAUCCCUCCCACCUCCAGGCCCUGUCCAGCCCCCUGACCUUGUCCUCAGUGACGGGCACCGUGUGCACAGGGAUCGGCCUCCAGGUGGCCUCGGAGCGCCCUGGGGCGGCCUCAGGGAAAAGCCCCGCUAGGUUGGCCUGAGCGCUCUCCAGGGUCCGGUCAAAGUCUGUGCUGCGAAUGUACACCUGGGUGCGGUGGGGAGAGGCCAGGCCAGGGUACCACGGUCAGGGUCAGAGGUCAGCUAUAGCAGCAAACCAAAAGCUUCAGAUUAAGUUCAGAGUCGAAGUUCAGGUGUUGGGGGUCAAAACUCAGGGCGGGUUCAGGGGCUGGCCUUCAAUUUUGGAAGCUGGGAUCAAGGGCCAGAGGUCAAUGUCAGGAGCAGUUGGGUUGGGGGUCAGAAGUUGGGUGGACAUUGAGGAUUAAGGGGUCAUUUGAGUCAAUGAAAGUCAGAAAGGAAUAUCAGGGGCUUCCCUGGUGGCGCAGUGGUUAAGAAUCCGCCUGCCAAAGCAGGGGACAUGGGUUCAAGCCCUGGUCCGGGAAGAUCCCACAUGCCGCGGAGCAACUAGCCCCGUGCGCCACAACUACUGAGCCUACAAGCCACAACUACUGAGCCUGCAAGGCACAACUACUGAAGUCCGCGCCUAGAGCCCGUGCUCCACAACAAGAGAAGCCACCGCAGUGAGAAGCCCGUGCUCACCGCAACUAGAGAAAGCCCGCGCGCAGCAACAAAGACCCAACAUAGCCAAAAGAAGUGUUGAUCUGAUUAUCACCAUCUCCAUGGUGCAGACGGGGAAACCAAGGCACAGCAAGGGUUGACCCUAUUCCAUGAGGGAGGAGACUACAUGGGAUAUGAACUCCAGGAGGUGAGACUCACUGGGGGCUAUGCUGGAGGCUGGCUCCAUGGCAAUGUUCUUUAUUUUAUUUUAUUUUUGGCUGCAUGGCACAUGGGAUCUUAGUUCCCUGACCAGGGAUCAAACCCACACCCCCUGCAUUAGAAGCAUAGAGUCUUAACCACUGGACCACCAAGGAAGUCCCCAUGGUAAUGUACUUUAAAUAAAGAUGUCUUGUCAGCCCACUUCCUGAGUCCCCCACCCCGAAAUUCAUAUGUUUUAACCCGAACCUCCAAGGUGAUGGUAUGAGGAGGUGGGGCCUUUGGGGUGAUUAGGUCAUGAGGGUGGAGCCCUCAUGAAUGGGAUUAGUGCCCUUUUAAAAGAGACCCCAGAGAGCUCCCUGGUCUCUUCCACCACAUGAGGACACAUCGAGUAAUUGGCCAUCUAUGAACAAGAAAGCAGGCUCUUACCAGACACCAAAUCUGCCAGCACCUUGAUCUUGGACUUCCAGCCUCCAGAGCUGUGAGAAAUAUAGUUGUGUUAUUUGUUAGCCACCCCGUCUAUGGUGUUCUAUUAUAGUAGCUCAAACAGACCAAGACAAGUCCCGUCUCAAGAUCCUUAAUGUAAUCACCUCUGCAAAGUCCCUUAAGCCAGGUGAGGGAAAUACUCACAGGUUUUGGGGGUUGGGGUGUGGCCAGUUUGGGUCUAUUACUCAGCCCGCCACACACGUAAAUACAGGGGUGGCCCACCCCACUCCUCUGAUCCACUUUCCACCAUUCUCUGUCCAGCUCUGUGCCCUUGAGGAAGCCUCUGUCUUCAUCUCCAUCCUGGCCCCCGUGCCCUCUGGAUCCCCAUUGGAGCCAGCCAGGGAGGGGAGCAGGAACUCCUAGGAUGAGAGGUACUGGCUGCAGUAUAGCUUCCUUCGGGGAACCCCCUGUCCCUUGAGGUUCUGAUGACAUGGGUCUCACCCCUUGAUGCCUAGAGGUGUGUAUUGGUUUGCUAGAGCUGCUGUAACAAACUGGCUGGUUUAGACGUCAGAAAUGUAUCGUCUCCCAGUUCUGGAGGCCAGAAGUCCAAAAUCAAGGUUCCAGCAGGGUCGGUCCCUUCUGAGAGCUGUGAAGAAGGAUCUGCUCCCUGCUUCUCCCCAGUUUCCGGUGUUGUUGACAAUCCCUGGCUUAUAGAAGCGUCACUCCAGACUCUCAUCAUGUGGCCUGUGUGUGUGUGUCUGUCUCUGAGUCUCUCCUCUUCUUAUAAGGACACCAGUUAUGACCUGAUCUUAACUUGAUUUACAUCUGCAAAACCCCUAUUUCCAAAUGAAGUCACAUUCACAGGUACCGGGGGUGAGGACUUGAUCUUUGGUGGGACUCAAUCCAGACCCAACUGGGUGGCAGCAGCUCCCCAAGUUUCCUAAGCCCAGUGCUGCGCUGUCCUACCAACUCUGAACAUGGGCCCUGUAUUAAACUCCUUCCAAUUAAACCUUUUUGAGCUGCGCCUGCCGCUUUCUGCUGCAACACUGAGACAGCGCAUCCUUCCAGAUUUUUCAACACACACGUUCUUUUUUUUUUUUCCUGCCGCACCGCGUGGCACCUGGGAUCUUAGUUCCUCAACGAGGGAUCGAACCCAUGCACCCUGCAGUGGAAGCGCAGAGUCUUAACCACUGGACCGCCAGGGAAAUCCCCACGUUUAAAAAAUAUACGUACUUUUUACCAAAAUGAGAUCAUAUCGCACAUGCAAUUUUGGAACAAUCUCCUCCUUUCCAUGUCAGUAACACUUUCAUCUCAUCUAAUACCCACUCUCCUUUCAGAGGUCCCCAAUAUCUCCCCCAAUAUCCUUUACAGCUGAGUUAUCUAAACCAGAAUCCAGUUCAGGAUCACCCAUCAAAUCUGGUCUUAUGUCUCUUAUGGAUUUGUUUAAAUAGAGCAAGUCCAUUUGCCUUAUGGAUUUGUUUAAAUAGAGCAAGUCCAUUUGCCUUGGUUUUUUUGGGGACACGGACUUGGAGAGACCAUGCCAGUUGCCCUGUUCAGUGUCUUGCCUUCUGGAGUUUUCUGGCUGGUGCGCUCAGGUAUCAUUUCACAGCUGAUUCAUGUCAUUUCCAGCAUUUAUGUUGCAUAAAGUCACCGGGAACGCAGGAUUAGCAAAUACUGAAUCAUUGCUUCUAGGGAAAAUGUGUGUGUGUGUGUCACGUAGAUUAUAAUCUUAAAUCCAAAAAACUACUCAUCCUGGUAGAUCCUUUUUUUUUUUUCUUUUUGUUUUUUACAAACUAGAAAAUUUGCCCCAGGCCACCCCACUCACAGGUGCCAGAGCUGGGAUCCAAACCCAUCCGUCUGGCCCCAGAGCAGGAGCUCCUCCCCAGCACUGCCCCCUCCUGUCUCUGGCCUCUGGGCAGCUCUCUGUUUGAGCUGAAACAAGAGAGCAGAGGAUUGUCCCCUUGAUCAACAAAGGAACGUGCGUGUCCUCAGACUCAAACCUGUAGCCACUCGGGGCAGAGGUGGAAUCGCGGAUAAUGAGGGCUGACUGCACUGGUUUCCUCUGUCCUCUGUGUUUCUGGUGACCCCAAAGUUAGUUCUAAAGGCGUGAUGGACCCAAAGAGAUUUAGGUCUACAAACUCUCGGGAGGGCUGGCGGAGGACCGCCAGAGGGCCAUGGGGGUCCCGGGCACAUCACUGUCCCCGUGGCCCAGAGAUGGGAACGCUGCUGCCUCUGCCACGAGUCCUACCAUUAUAACUGCUGCUUCCGCCCCCAAACUGGUGACCAGGCUCUGGGAGGCUCGGUCCUCCCCCUGCUGUGUCUCUAAAUCUUGCAACUGACAGAUACCAUUGGAGGAAACUUUGCCUGGGCCACCUCAUCUGCUCUCUGGCUUCCAGUCUCUUCCUGUUCCAAGAUACUUCUUUUUUUUUUCUUCUUUUUUCAUUUUUUUUUUUUUUUUCUCCAAGAUACUUCUGGCGCCCAGGGUUGCAGGUCUGGACUCUCCCAUCUCAGAUGUCCCCCUUCCAAGUUCACAUACUCCAUGUGACAUUCUGUACCCAAAUUCCCCUCUCCCCCAAGCCUCUGCCACAAGGUCCCCUUACCCAGAAUGCCCUUCUCUUGUCACCAUGGCCACCAUUCUGGUCUCCCAGAUGACCCUCUGUCAGGCUCUGCUGGCCCACCUCCCUCUCUGGCUUACAGGCCCGGGAAAGGGAGAGAGAGGCCAAGCAACCCUGCGGCUGAGACCUCUGGCCAUGAAUGUUCAGGAAAAUGCGACCCUGGCCAUAGCCGUAUUCACCAUCCUCACCUCCAUCUACUUCUUCAACAAGGCUCAGCAAUGAGCAGACGCAGGACCCCUAACCCAAGAGCCCUGCCCCUGCCCUGACCGUGACUGUGGCCUCUGAGACCAAAUAAAUGUGACUGAAUCAGCACACCCUGCUCUAUCCCACCACCCCGCAGGCACACAGCCCCGGGCCAACUCUGUCUGAGGGCCAGGCUUCUGGGUCAGAGACAGGAGGCCCGCACUCCUGGGUCUGGGGAAGGUGGAGACUAGGGGAUAGACUAUCAGGUUUGAGGCUAGGUGCCCAGAGACUGAGCUGUGCUUUGAGGGGGGAGUAGUCUGUCAGGAGCGUUUAGAGAGGGGGAAGGACAUUCCAACUUUGAAUGCAAAAACACAGAUAGGAGAAGGAGCAGGGAUGACUCACCACCUGGUACCGACACAAACUGCUGUGUACUUCAGAUUUAUUCCUUCUCUCUGAGUCUUGGUUUUCUUCUCAGUCAGACAAAGGUGAAAAUCUUGGACCAGUGGGCCCCAGAAGGCCGUGGCAAGGACAGCCUGAGAUCAAAGAUGCGAAUGGAAUUUGCAAGUUGCAAAGCCAGAAGUUGGUCAGCCCCGCUCUAGCAGGGAAGUCGAUUUCCGCAAAACAAGAAUUCCGAGACCUGAGCCGGGUAAGCGGUCCUUGAGGCUUAGUCCCCUCUCCCAGGGGCCUUCCUCUCUCCCUGGACCAUAGCCGCGCCCCCUAUCUCUCUCCUUCAGUCUUCACAGGGGUCUUUCUACAAGCAGAGGUGACCUAUCCUUCCCUUGGCUCCCCAGCACCCCUGGGACAAGAGUCCCAGCCCCUCAGCCUGGCAUAGGAAGCUGUGUUUUGGGGUUUGUUUGUUUGUUUUUGGCUGCGAUGUGUCUUCUUUGCUGCACGUGGGCUGUGGGCUUUCUCUAGUUGCUGGAAGCGGGGGGUUCCUCUUCAUUGUGGUGCACGGGCUUCUUACUGCGGUGGCUUCUCUUGUUGCAGAGCACGGGCUCCAGGCGCGCGGGCUUCAGUAGUUGUGGCACGUGGGCUCAGUAGUUGUGGCUCCCGGGCUCUAGAGCGCAGGCUCAGUAAUUGUGGCACACAGGCUUAGUUGCUCCGCAGCAUGUGGGAUCUUCCCGGACCGGGGCUCGAACCCAUGUCCCCUGCACUGGCAGGCGGAUUCUUAACAACUGUGCCACCAGAGAAGUCCUGGAAGCUGUGUUUGACCUGACGCCCUCCCGUCUUUUUCUUUUUUUAAUCGCACCCACCUCUUACGCCCCCUCUGUAGUAUAUCUUAACGUAUGUAACUCACAGAUGGUUUAAAGAAAAAAAAGCCGCACCCCAGGGUCUUUGCACAUGCUGUACUCCCUGCCCGGAGUGCCCUUUCCCUCCUCUAUUGUGUGUCAGCUCCACCUGGAAGGCUUCCUAAAAACCUCUCCCAAUCAGAGUCAGCCUCCCUGCCUCUCUUCGCCUCCCCGCCACUUCCUCCCCACCCUUCUUGGCUGUGACUGGGAGCCUAAGGCAGGGGGUGCACAGAAUAAAUCUGACUUCUGCUGGACCCCCAGCUUGGGUCUUGGCUAUCAACGUUUGGAAAACAAACAAAUAUUGACAAAGAAAUCGAUCUUUGCGUCCCUCCUCCCCACUCCCACCUCCAGGGUUUUCAGCCCUUGAGUGCUGGGUUUCUCAACCCCCUGGGAGCUACCAAGGUUGCAUUUGCACAGCCACAGGCACUUGGAGAUGGGUGGGGCUCAGCCCGCUGCCCGUGGGACUUCCUGGCAAGCUUUGGAAACUCCCAGAGCCCAGCUCUACCCUAGGCCACUUAAACCACAACACCUGGGGAUGGGCCCUGGGCACUGAUUUGGAGUUUAAAAGCUCCUCCGGAGAUCCUGAUGUGCAGACAGGGUCAAGAGGCAUCUGCUAUAAUGCAUUUUCCAAAGACCGAAGAGAUAGAUUUUCCCCCUUGGAGCUUAGUGCAUGUCUGAGGUAGCGCCACGGAUACAUCAAACGACUCAGAACGUGGAGCAAAAAUUAACCUUUAGUUGGGAAACAUUUGGGAGUUUGAAAACCAAAGAUGACCAACAACAUCCUUUUCCAGGGGCGGGGGCAUGGUUAGGAGGCACGUGCGUAUUUCAAAAGGCAGCAAGACAAGACGAAUGAUAGCCAGUGUCCUGGAGACCCAGAACAUCCGGUGGCCAAGUACUGUCCUGUGUUACUCGGUUCCACCUGCAGGGACCACGGCAUCCCAGCGUGCAUGAGACUUUCCUGGUUUUAGCUCCGAAAGCCCCAUAGCCCAGAUAUUGUAUUGCUAAGUCCUGGCAUAACCAGGACGGUUGGCUGCAGGUUCCUAGCCCAUGUCUAUAAUCGUGUCUUUAGAUCCAGGCCCAUGUCUGUCUGUAUGUCUGUCUGUCUCUCCCUGUCCAUCUGUCUCUCUCCCCACUCAUUCUCCUCUCCUUCAGUCAGAGUCUAGUUCCUUUCCACCUCCUCCUGGGUCUUUGUCUCUGUAUCUUUUCCUGUCUUGUCUCCCACUUGGUCCCUCCCGGCAGCCUGACCUGUCUCUCGCGUCCCUUCCCUGCCUUGGCCUCCGUCUGCCACCGCGUCUUGUGUGAUGCUGUCACGUCUGCGUCGGUGCCCGUUUCUCCCUCUCUGCAUCUCUUCCUUCACUUGGCCUGCUUUCUCUUUGCAUCCUUUUUCCCCAUUCUCUGGGCCCCUGCGCCCCACCCCGGGUCCCUGUCCCCGUCUCUAAAUUUCAGUCUCUCUCAGCAUCUCACAUUCUCUGGAGUUUGAUAAGGUGGGAGACCCCCCCCCUCUACACUCUCCCUAAAUGUCCCCAACCCCGCCCCCCAGGAAUUUCCCUCCCGGUCCCCGCAGGACACCUGGGCCUCCCUCCCCAGUGCCAGACCCCACCCGUCCCCCCUCAGACUACCCCACUUGGCGGCACCAGAGGGCCCGCCCAGCACAGGAGCUGCCUAAACGCCUGGUCCUCUCACAUCCCCACCAGCAUCAACAGAAGCAGCAGGGGGAAGGGAAACCAGCAGAGAAACAGCACGGCCCCCGUGGCUGUGGCACCCCCAGCAGCCGGGGCCUCCCUGUGAGCCUCGCCAGCUGCAGCCUGGCCUUCAGGAGGCUGUGGAAGGCACUCAGCACCGCCAGUGCACCCCAAAGCUGAACGCCCGCUGACUCAGUGCAGGGCUGGAGGAUGAAGAUGGCUGGGCAGGCUCCCCGACAGGCGUCUUGUUAAAAGCGUCAGCCCGGUUCACCUGGCCCCUCAGGGUUCACAGGGCUGAUGUGCCCAGGACCAGAAGAAGGAGCCCAAAACCCCCGGCCCAGAAAACUGCCCUCCAGGCUGUGCGAUGGUUCUGUGCCCAGGUGGGCUGGAGCGCAGAGGUGCAGCGGUCGGCGGCCGCACGGGUCAGCGGGCCGCCACUGGCGUAGAAUGUCAGGAAGACGAGGCCGGGGUCCAGGUGGUAGAAGAUGCCACCCAGGGGCCAGUGGGGGAGCGUCCAGGUGAGGGGCAGGGGCAGGAGAACAGUGAAGGCGGCAUCGGCCAUGGCCUGGUGGCCAAACCAGUCUGCGGACAAAGGGGGAGGCAGGAGGGGCCCUGCCCCUUGGAUCACCAGGAGGUAGGAGAUGAGGGCGGCCAGGGAGUAGAGGAGGAAGAGGGUCGUCCCCGGUGGGCACAGGGCUCCAGCGGGUGACGGCUGCCAAGUCUCCAGAGGGUCCUCCAAGGGCUGGAUGAUGCUUUUGGGACCCACAGGCCUCCACGUUAGCAAGUCCCACACCCCGCCCCCCACCCACCAACUUCCCCGUGUCCUCCAUCUCAGGGACUGCCCCCCCGUCCACCCAGACCUGGGGCGCUGUCCUCUCUCCCUUGCUUCCCCUCACCUCUCACAGUCUCACUCUGAUCCUCUCUGCCCCGUCCCCGUCGCCCUGGCCCCGUGCAGGCCUUCACCUCACCUGGCUGGACCCUUAGCCCAGCCUCCUCCCAGCCCUCCCUGCCUCCAGUUAUCCCAUCCAGUGCAGAGCAGACCUACCCCUCCACUGCUCACAGGCCUCCCAUGGCUCCCCAGUACCCCUGGCCAAAGUCCCCGCGCCUCAGCCUAGAGGGGAGACCCUGGGAGGUCUGACCCACCCUCCUCUGCACCCCUUUUCCUGUCCUUAAUGCAUCAUCGCAUCAAACCACUCCCAGAACUAGAGGCUCGCUCCAGCCUUGUGCACUUCACCCCUGGUAUUCUCCAGCCUCUCAGGAAGCCCGUUUCUUUCAAGGACUGCAGGAUCCUGGCUGUGCCAAGCCCCACGAAGUGACUACUCUUAUUUUUUUUAAUUAUUAUUAUUAUUUAUUAUUAUUAUUUUUUGGCCGUGCUUUGCAGCAUGCAGGAUCUUAGUUCCCUGACCAGGGAUCGAACCCAUGCCCCCUGCAUCGGGAGCGUGGAGUCUUAACCACUGGACCGCCAGGGAAGUCCCGAGGUGGCUACUCUCACAGCUCCACUUUUCAGAUGGGGAAACUGAGGCUCAGAGGAGGCGAUUCACUUGCUCAAAAUCAAAGCAGACAAAAGAGAGACCAAGCCUGGAUUUGCACCUGUAUCUGUGACCUCAGAGGCCGGGAUGUUAACUCGGGGGUCCUGAUCUGUUUGCGGGCCUCAGUUUCCCCACUCUGUUUCCUUGUUAUCCUGAGCCCACCAGCAGGUGGGAGGCAGGCGUCUUCCAGGGCGUCUGAGCAGGAGCGGGAGGCCUGGUCUCCCCUGGAGGACCCAGGAUGGGGAGGCUCACAAGUGGCUAGAAAUCAGAGAGCUGGAAAUCAGAGGGACCACCACACAGGGUCUGAGCAUGGGCCUCAGUUUCCCCAUCUGUGAACCGAAGGAUCAGCUUGUUUGCUUGGGCGCUGUCUUCCCAUCGCCCCCAGGAUGAGGUCUGAGCUCCUCAGCCUGGCAUUUGCAGUCCUAGCUUUUGGGGCUCCACCCACAUCACCAGUUGCCUAGCUCACCACUUCCCUUCCUUCUGCUCUGGAGUUCCUAGAACAAGCCACAUGGUUUCAUGCACACAUGCACACACCCAGCCUUUGUCCUUGCCAUUUCCUCAUUCUGGACUUGACCCUAUUGUUCCAGCCAACAAACUCCUACUCAAGCUUCAGAACCCGCCUGAGUGCCACCCUCCCCAGAAACCCUUCUCUGACUAUGACACACCCCACCAGACUGAAUCAGGUAUCACCUUCAUUGCAUGUAGGGUCUCUGAGAGGUUCAUGCUAAGCUAAGGGCAGGAAUGAAAUGUCAACUAUGUAUGGGGCAACGUGCUAUGACCUUCACAUGCAUCAUUUUAAUUUAUUCUUCCAAGAACCCUGUGAGGACAAUACUAUUGCUGUCCUCAUUUUAUCAAGGGGGAAAGCUGAGGCAAACUUAAAUAAAUGAGCCAUUCAGUAAAUGAAACAACUCAGAAAAGAAUCCAGGUUGACCGACUCCAGAAUCUGAAGUCUUAACCACUGUAUUAUUUUGCCUAAACAAAAUUUUUUUUUUUGAUGUGGACCAUUUUUAUUGAAUUUGUUACAAUAUUGCUUCUGCUUUAUGUUUUGGUUUUUUGGCCCUGAGGCAUGUGGGAUCUUAGCUCCCCGACCAGGGAUUGAACCUGCACCCCCUGCAUUGGAAGGUGAAAUCUUAACCACUAGACUGCCAAGGAAGUCCCAACAAAGACGUAUUGAAUGAAUAAAUGCAUGAAUCAUCCUUGAACAACCAACCCACACAAUGCCUCGGGACAUGUUUGUAAAAUGAAUGAAUGUAUUCCCAUCUUUACCUGGCAAACUUUACUCAUACAUUAAUUCCCAAUGCAAAUGCCCCCUCCUCCAGGAAGCCCUCCCUGACUUUUCCAGGCUUAGUCCUUCUACAGUCCCUCUUCCUCCCUCGGAUCCCCUCCAGACUGGAACUGUCUGUGCCCUAUUUAUCUCCUAUACCAGCCUGGGAGCCCCUGGAGGGCUGAUUCAUAUCUGUGUCCCCAACAUCUCCCAGCUCAGGACCAGGUCACAUGAGACCUCAGGACGUAUUUGCAUGCACAGCUCAUGGUCUGGUGACAGAUCAGGAGGAAGAAGAGGCUAAAACCCAGUGAUGAGGAAGACAUGCAAAACCUCAGGGUGGUCCUCCAGAAAAGACAUGGCUGGAGCUUCAGGACCUAGAGCAGACUGAGUGAGCACUAUAUCAGGAGUCCAGAGACAACCCACCUCCUCGUAUGACCAGAUCCCUCAUGUCUGAGCUCCAGUUUUCUCAGCCGGAGAACAAGGGUCCAUGGACAAAUUGGGUAGUGAAUAAUGAGCACAUCGCAGACUGCCAUAUUGGAUCCUCCCAAGGGCUCCCCAUCACCCUCCCCACCCCCCAUUCCUCCCACCUCUAGGCCUUUGCACCCGCUGUGCCCCCUGCCUGGAGCGCCCUUCCCCACACCUCUUCCUCACAUCACUCAGGUCUCUGCUAACGGUUGCCUCUUUCAAGUGUCUAAACCCCUCAACACUCCCUCUCCCCUUAAUCCUCCUGCUUUCCUCUCCAUAGCACUGAUGGUCAUGCAUUGGUUUUUAAAAUUGUAAUUGUUUAAUUGUCUGUCUGCACCCCUCCCCGCACCCCACCCCAAUGCUGUAACAAAGGAAUUCCGUAAGAGUAGGGAUUUUCAUCCUAAAACAGUGCCUGGCACAUAGUAGGUGCUCAAUAAAUAUUGUUGAAUAAAUGAAUGAAUAAAUGUGAGUAGGGAACCCCAUGCUCACUGUAGUAGGCAGAUGAAUGGCCCCAAAGAUGUCCACGUCCUCAUUCCGGAACCCGUGGGUAUGUUACCUUACAUGGCAAAGGGGAAUGAAUGUCUCAGAUGGAGUUAAGGCUUCUAGUCAGAUGACUCUAAAAUAGGGAGAGGAGCCUGGAUUCUCCAGGUGGGCCCAAUAUAGUCACAAUAUAGGGAUUCUGAUAUGUGGAAAAGGGAGGCAGAGAGAGAUUUGAAGAUGCUACCUGCAGGGCAAUUCCCUGGCAGUCCAGUGGUUAGGACUCCUUGCUUUCACUGCCAUGGCCCGGGUUCAAUCUCUGGUCAGGGAAUUAAGAUCCCGCAAGCCGCGUGGCGUGGCCAGAACGUAAGAAUAAAUAUAUAAAUGAAGAUGCUACCUUUGGGAUUUGAAGAUGGAGGCAAAAGCCAUGAGCCGUGAAGCGGGGACACCCUCUAGGAGCUGGGAAAGGAAAGGAAAAGGAUUCUCCUCUAGAGCCUAGUGACACCCAUCUAGGACCUCUGACCUCCAGAAUCAUGAGCUAGAUGUGUGUUGUUUGAAGACACUAAGUUUGUGGGAAUUUGUUACGCCAACCAUAGGAAAAUAAUACACCCAUUUUAUAGACCAGCCAUUUGGAGGCUCUCUGAGGCCAGGCACCCAAUUGCUGAGUUUGCCCCCUCAGUAAGAGGCGGUAGGAAGUUGGGGACAGGCCUCAGAGAGAGGAGCAUCUGGACCCAGAAUGGCCAAAGGAGAGGCAUGGAGGGAGGGGCAGGCUGUGGUGGGAGGGAUGGGGCUGGCUGUGGGGAAAGAGGGGAUGCGAGUGCUCCGCUCUGCCAGGCUUUAUCUUGUGGUUCCUGUGGGCUUCAAAGUACCCACGACCGGGAGGCGGAAAGAGUAGCAGGGGAUCCCACAUUAGAGCCCACUACCAGCCUCUCCCUCCCUCCACUCCCUCCAGCCCUGUCUGUCCCACUCUCUUCUCCAUACCCACCGCCUGGUCCCUACUCAGGCCUCCUCCUCUUUCCCUGGACCCCUCCCCCCUCCCAGCCUUCUUCUGGUCUCUGUCCACCCCCACGGGAGCCCCAGAGGAUUCUUUCUACACCCAGGGUUAACCCUAUCCCUCCCCUGCUCACACACCUCCCAUGGCUCCCCAGUGCCCCCGGACUAAGACCCAGCCCCUCAGCCUGGCGUUCCACGGUCACCCAUCAGAGCCCUCUCUCUAUUUCACCUCCCACGGCUUCACCCUAAAGCUCUGGGUGCCACACACCUGGUACCUGCUCUGUCGCAGCCAUGACCACCUUGGUUCUCACUGUCUGUGUCCGUCUCUGCCACCAGUCUGCAGCGUCUUUGAGAUCAGGGUUCUGGUCUUACUCCUCCGGGGUCCCCGGCAUCACCCACCACAGGGGAGGCACGUGGUGGGGGGUCCCCACUUUCGAGUGAAUUAUUUAACACUCUAGAAACCCAGGUCUUGGUCAGCGUGAGUCUGAGGGGUGUAGGGCAGCACAUCAUUCAUUACAGUCCAUGUCCCAGGCAUGGAGGACCCAGAAACAAUGACACAGACAAGGGUGUAAGGCUGUCACGUUGCCUUCCCUUCAUUUUAUUCCACACAAACAAGGAUGGGGACCGGGAGAUCCAAGCACAGCUCACCGUGACAUCCAAGGUGCUGAGUUUGAAUCCGGAUCCUGACACCUUGACCCCGGCUGGGACUCCGGGCACUCAAUAAACGUAAUUGGAUGGAUUAAUGCAGUCAGACCGCUCAAGUCUUGACUACCACUCACUCGCUGUGUGACCUUUGAGGCUGAUCAAGGAAAUGCUGAUUCCUGCGCUGGGCCACGCGGAGAGGCUGCUGUCCCUCUGGGUCUCAAAACCCACCUCACCAACCAUGCGAGGCUCUCCCCAAUCAAAGACUACGAUCUCCCCAGGAGAAUCCUGAAGCGGCUGUGAAAACCACAGAGUCUCCUUGAAAGACUGCUUAACCAAAUUCAUUAGAAAAUCAAUGCAAAUUAAAAACCUCACCGGGAUCCCACUAGUCACCUCUGAGAAGGCGGAGAUCAAAGAGUCUGACAUCGCGGUUGCGCUGCGUUGGCGAAGCUCUGGGAAACCGCCUUUCGGAGCUCCCUGUGGAGGAGUCUAGCAACAUCUAACACGCCCUCUGACCCUGCCAGUCCCCGAGGAAAGAUCUAUUCUAACAGAUGACAAGACUGAUAAUAGCAAAUACGUCACACCUCCGAGGUGCCAGGUAUGAACUAAACACUUUAUCCACAUCAAUACACGUAAUCAUCCCAGUGAUUCUUUGAGGGAGGUGCUGUUAUAUCUCAUUUCACUUAGGUGGAAACUGAGGCAUAGAGAGUGAAAGCAACUUGACAGGUGUCACCCAGCUAUAAGCAGCUGUCAUGCCAUUCUGCCUUCUUGGAGUGUUCACCAAAGUACACAGGUACAAAUGUAAAAGGAUACUAUUGUUGGAGAGGCAGAGAGAACAGCUUCUUUAUACUAUCCACUUUUUUUGUUGUUGUUAAAUUCCUCAUUAAAAUCUGUCCAUGCGGACUUCCCUGGUGGUGCAGUGGUUUAGAAUCUGCCUGCCAAUGCAGGGGACGGGGGUUCGAUCCCUGGUCCGGGAAGAUCCCACAUGCCGUGGAGUAACUAAGCCUGUGCGCCACAACUACUGAGCCUGCAUGCCACAACUAUGGAAGCCCAUGUGCCUAGAGCCUGUGCUCCACAACAAGAGAAGCCAUUGCAUGAGAAGCCUGUGCAUCGCAAGGCAAAGUGUACCUCCCGCUUGCCGCAGCUAAAGAAAAUCUAUGCUCAGCAACGAAUACCCAAUGCAGCCAAAAAUAAAUAAAUUUUUAAAAAGUAAAAGUACUUUCCUUUAAAAAAAAUCUAUCCAUGCUUUCUUUCAAAUUUUAGUGCGCUUACAUUAUUGUUCUUUUUCUAGACUCUUGAAUUGUUUUGCUCAUCUCCUUUCAUGUGAGCAUUUUUCCGAAUUAGCAUCUGAAGCUACAGCUCUUCCUCAGAGUAUAGCUUUGGCCCCACCUCACAAGUUUUGUUGUGUAGUGUGCUCAUUUCUAAAUGAAUGGCACUCCAGUUUUAUUCUUCCAUUUAACCCAAGAGUUACUUAGAGAGUGUUUUGAAAUGUGCAAAACAAACUGAGUGUCUGUGGUUAUUCUUCGUUAUUAAUUUCUAAUUUUGAAUGUGGCCUGCAUUAUUUCUGCUUUUGGCAAUCAACCUGUGCUGUGUUUCUGACCCAUAGUCUAUUCUUGGGAAGUGGGGAGAAUAUCAUUGCAGGACUCUGAUUUUUUUUAAUGCUAUAAAGUUCAUUAUUGGCACAACUAGGAAAUUUUGAAUUUGGAUUGUUUAUUAGAUAAUAUCAAUGUUAAAGUUCUUGAGGGUGGUAAUGAUAUUAUGGUUGU
Molecule: long non-coding RNA, 14636 nt
Organism: Orcinus orca (killer whale)
Lineage: Eukaryota; Metazoa; Chordata; Mammalia; Artiodactyla; Delphinidae
Exons: 8
Source: RefSeq, a predicted model, not a curated record